This is a long non-coding RNA of Alosa sapidissima (American shad), 732 nucleotides long. RefSeq lists it as uncharacterized. The record is from RefSeq and is a predicted model, not a curated record. Lineage: Eukaryota; Metazoa; Chordata; Actinopteri; Clupeiformes; Clupeidae. The transcript has 2 exons.
AUCGAACAUAUUUUUCAUUGAUAUCGAUUACAUGUCUAUUGCGAUACAUAUCGCUAUCGUUUUAUCGCCCAGCCCUUGUUUGUAUGAUAGUAAGAUCAGUGAUUAAUGUGUUUUUGUUGUAAACUUUUAAUUUUCUCAGUUCGUUGUGGUCUCAGUUUACUCUGACCAUGUUUUCUGCGUUAAAGAAAAUUAUAAGGCUGAUACAAGGACGGACCAUGACUCUGGUCUCACAUGAAUCACGUCCAAUCAUGAUGCAGGUCUAACAUGACUCUGGUCUCACAUGAAUCAAGUCCAAUCAUGAUGCAGGUCUAACAUGACUCAUAUGAAUCAAGUCCAAUCAUGAUGCAGGUCUAACAUGACUCAUAUGAAUCAAGUCCAAUCAUGAUGCAGGUCUAACAUGACUCGCAUGAAUCAAGUCCAAUCAUGAUGCAGGUCUAACUUUUCACUGGUGUUCCUCUGUCAGUACCUCUGUUUCAGAUCAUUAGUGUUAAUCAGUACAUUCACAACAUAAUGUCUGAUCACUAACCAGUGGGUUUUUCAUUUUCCAUGGAUGAUUUAGUGUCUGUUUUCAUUUGGGUGUGAUCUUACUGACAGAUCAUAAUGCAUUCCUAGGAAUCAGGGAUAUUGGCAUUACUAAUUACAUUAAAAUGACAUUACAAAUUAUUAGAUUAUGUUUUACCCCAGGUACUUAUUGUGCUAUGUUGUUGCAAUUAUUAAAAACAAAUAAACAAA